GCUGUCGUCAGCUCGUGUCGUGAGAUGUUGGGUUAAGUCCCGCAACGAGCGCAACCCUCGCCUUUAGUUGCCAUCAUUUAGUUGGGCACUCUAAAGGGACUGCCGGUGAUAAGCCGGAGGAAGGUGGGGAUGACGUCAAGUCCUCAUGGCCCUUACGGGUUGGGCUACACACGUGCUACAAUGGCGGUGACAGUGGGCAGCUACUUCGCAAGGAGAAGCUAAUCCCAAAAAGCCGUCUCAGUUCAGAUUGCACUCUGCAACUCGGGUGCAUGAAGUUGGAAUCGCUAGUAAUCGCUAAUCAGCAGGUAGCGGUGAAUACGUUCCCGGNCCUUGUACACACCGCCCGU
RNAcentral lists this ribosomal RNA (347 nucleotides) under uncultured Alphaproteobacteria bacterium. RNAcentral describes it as "bacterial SSU rRNA". It matches the Rfam family "Bacterial small subunit ribosomal RNA", at positions 1048 to 1397 of the family's 1533-position model. The record is from RNAcentral. Lineage: Bacteria; Pseudomonadati; Pseudomonadota; Alphaproteobacteria.